This 492-nucleotide ribosomal RNA is filed under the name uncultured bacterium. RNAcentral's name for it is "partial 16S ribosomal RNA". It matches the Rfam family "Bacterial small subunit ribosomal RNA", at positions 29 to 507 of the family's 1533-position model. The record is from RNAcentral.
AGCGAACGCUGGCGGUAGGCCUAACACAUGCAAGUCGAACGGCAGCACAGUAAUUGCUUGCUGUUACGGGGGGCGAAUGGCGGACGGGUCAGGUAUGUACCGUAAUCUUCUUUUUCGGUUGGGCUAACGUAGGGGAACCUACUCUAAUACAGGAUACGACGCACGGGUGAAAGCAGGGGAUCGUUGGACCGUGUGCGAUUGAAUGAGCCGAUGUCGGCUUAGCUAGUUGGCGGGGUAAAGGCCUACCAAGGCGGCGAUCGGUAGCUGGUCUGAGAGAAUGGUUCGCCACCUGGGAAGUGAGACUGGGACCAGACUCCUACGGGAGGCAGCAGUCGGGAAUAUUAGGCAAUGGGGGAGAGCCUGAUCCAGCCAUACCGCGUAGGUGAAGAAGGCGUUCGGGUUGGUAAGCCCUUAUGUUGGGAGAGAAAAGCAGCUGGUUAAUACCCCGCUGUUCUGACGGUACCCGGAGAAUAAGCACCGGCUAACUUCGUG